Molecule: long non-coding RNA, 546 nt
Organism: Lemur catta (Ring-tailed lemur)
Lineage: Eukaryota; Metazoa; Chordata; Mammalia; Primates; Lemuridae
Exons: 2
Source: RefSeq, a predicted model, not a curated record
UAAGGAAGUUCUUUGAUACAAUCAGAAGUUGGCUCCCUGCUCCUGUUUGCCUGAUGUUUAAGGCCGAUUCACUCGUGGAUGCUUUUUGCUGUUCCCCUGUUUGGGCCCUCACUGCGGUUCCCUUGACAUAUAGGCAGCUCCUCUCUUGCCGUGGGUUCCUAGUCCCCUCUCAAUAUCUGUUUUCCCCUGGCCCUACAGCAGCUACCCUUUGGGGCAGGAUCCCUUAAAAAGUGUCCCCAAACAUCUGGCUCAAGGGCUUGUGACUUGGGUUGGGUCUGAAAGGAGUCCAAGACAGACUCAGGCAAGGCCUGUGGGUCCCAGCAUGAGACCUGAGCAAGGGAGAAGCAGUUCUGAGGAAGACAUCUGGGAAGGUGGCCCUAAGAGAACAUCCUCAAGGAGAGUCUUGGUCCCAGCGUGAGUCAUGGAAAGGAGUGGCUGCUUUAUUAGCCUGAGCCUCAGAGUGAAGACAAUAUUGAGAAAAACCCAGCCAACCGGGAUGAAACAAGUACAGGAGUGAGAAAUAAACUAUGUUGUUGAAAGCCUUGA